RNAcentral lists this ribosomal RNA (239 nucleotides) under uncultured bacterium. RNAcentral describes it as "partial 16S ribosomal RNA". It matches the Rfam family "Bacterial small subunit ribosomal RNA", at positions 15 to 236 of the family's 1533-position model. The record is from RNAcentral.
GAUCAUGGCUCAGGAUGAACGCUGGCGGCGUGCCUAACACAUGCAAGUCGGGCGAAGCGGUUUUAAGGAAGUUUUCGGAUGGAAUUAAAACUGACUGAGCGGCGGACGGGUGAGUAACGCGUGGGUAACCUGCCUCAUACAGGGGGAUAACAGUUAGAAAUGGCUGCUAAUACCGCAUAAGCACACAGCUUCGCAUGGAGCAGUGUGAAAAACUCCGGUGGUAUGAGAUGGACCCGCGU